RNAcentral lists this long non-coding RNA (2965 nucleotides) under Homo sapiens (human). Its description in RNAcentral is "non-protein coding EP300-AS1:8". Lineage: Eukaryota; Metazoa; Chordata; Mammalia; Primates; Hominidae. The record is from RNAcentral.
AGCGCGUGCCCGCCCGGCGCCCUCUAGGGUGGAAGGCUGCGGGCGUCCUACCAGUGCCAGGACUGCCAGAGCGGGAGGAGCGCGGCGCGGGCCAGCCGGGACUGCUGGACAGCGGGGUCCAGGCUAGAGGCGAGCGAGCGGUCAGUGACGGCUGUGGAGGAGGGAGGCGCUGGGCGUCAGCGCGGGACCCGAGCCUCUGGACCACUGAGCUGGGGGGCUGGCUGAGGUCCACCUCCUAACAAAUUAUUGGAAGGAAUAUGAGAAAAAAAUGCAGAGUCUCACUGUGUUGCUCAGGCAGGUCUCUAGACUCCUGGACUCAAGCCAUCCUCCUGCCUCUGCCUCUCAAAGUGCUGAGAUUACAGGUGUGAGCCACUGCGCUCAGGUUAAAGUAGACAAGUGUCACUAUGUUGCCCAGGCUGGAGUCAAACUCCUGGUCUCAAGCGAUCCUCCUGGCUCGGCCUCCCACAGUGCUGGGAUUACAGAUGGAGUUUCACUCUUGUCACCCAGGCUGGAGUGCAAUAGAGCGAUCAUGGCUCACUGCAACCUCUGCCCCCCGGGUUCAAGCGAUUCUCCUGCCUCAGCCUCUCAAGUAGCUGGGAUUACAAGUGCCCACCACCACGCCCAGCUAAUUUUUGUAUUUUUAGUAAAGAUGGGGUUUCACCACAUUGGCCAGGCUGGUCUCUAACUCCUGACCUCACGUGAUUCAUCCAUCUCAGCCUCCCAAAGUGCUGGGAUUACAGGCAUGAGCCACUGUGCCUGGCCUAUACUUAUAUUUUCUUCUGUGAUUUUAAUAUUUUAGUGUUUAUGUUUUGGUCUAUGAUCCAUUUUGAGUAAAUUUUUAUAUUUGGUAUAAGGUAGGGGUCCAACUUUAUUUAUUUUUGAGAUGGAGGCUUACUCUAUUGCCCAGGCAGGCAUGCAAUGGUGCGAUCCAGCUCACUGCAACCUCUGUGUCCCAGGCUCAAGUGAUUCUCCCACCUCAGCCAUCUGAGUAGCUCGGAUUACAGGCCCCAUCACUAUGGUAAUUUUUAAAUUUUUAGUAGAGACGGGGUUUCACCAUGUUGGCCAGGCUGGUCUCGAACUCAUGACCUCAAGUGAUCUGCCCGCCUCUGCCCUACAAAGUGCUGGGAUUACAGGCGUGAGCCACCGUGCCUGGCCUCCAGCUUUAUUCUUUUUUUUUUUUUUUUUUUGAGACAGAGUCUUGUUCUGUCACCCAGGCUGGAGUGCUGGAGUGCAGUGGCGCGAUCUCGGCUCACUGCAAGCUCCGCCUCCUGGGUUCACGCCAUUCUCCUGCCUCAGCCUCCCGAGUAGCUGGGACUACAGGCGCCUGCCACCACGCCUGGCUAAUUUUUUGUAUUUUUAGUAGAGAUGGGGUUUCUCCAUGUUAGCCAGGAUGGUCUCGAUCUCCUGACCUCGUGGUCUGCCUGCCUCGGCCUCCCAAAAGUGCUGGGAUUACAGGCGUGAGCGACCAUGCCCGGCCAACUUUAUUCUUUUAGAUGUGGAUGUCUAGUUGUUCCAGAAGUAUCUGUUAAAAAUGUUACUCUUUCUCCAUUGGAUUAUUUUGGCAACCUUAUAAACAAUCAAUUGACCAUAAAUGUAUGGAUUUAUUUCUGGAUUGUCAGAUCUAUUCCAGUGAUCUAAAUGUCUGUCCUUAUGCCAGUACCAUAGAGUCUUGAUUACUAUAGCUUCAUGGUAAGUUUUCAAAUCAAGAAGUGUGAGUGCUCCAAAUUUGUUUUUAUUUUUCAAGAUUAUUUUGGCUGUUCUGGCUUCUUUGGAUUUUCAUAUGUAUUUUAGGGUCAGCCUUUCAGCUGGGCAUGGUGGCUCACGCUUGUAAUCCCAGCACUUUGGGAGGAGUUCAAGAUUAGCAUGACAAAAUCCCAUCUCUACAAAACAAAAAACAAAACAAAAGAAACAUUAGCCAGGCUUGGUGGCAUGUGCCUGUGGUCCCAGCUACUCAGGAAGCUGAGUAGCUUCCCGAGGCAGGAAGAUCACUUGAGACCAGGAGGUGGAGGUUUCAGUGAGCUGAGAUCGUGCCACUGUACUCCAGCCUGGGUAAUGGAGACAGACCCUGUCUGAAAACAAAAAAAUUUUUUAAAUAGGCUUUUGUUUUUUAUUUUAUUUAAUUUUUGACACAGGGUCCACUCUGUAGCUCAGGCUGGAGUGCAGUCGUGUGAUCUCAGCUCCCUGCAUCCUCCGCCUUUUGGGUUCAAGCAGUCCUCCCGUCUCAGCCUCCCGAGUAGCUGGGACUUACAGGCGUGUGUCACCACACCCAGCUAAUUUUUGUAUUUUUAGUAGAGGUGACCAUAUUGGCCAGGCUGGUCUUGAACUGACUUCAGGUGAUCUUCCUGCCUCAGCCUCCCAAACCCAAAGUGCUGGGAUUACAGGUGUGAGCCACUGUGCUCAGCCUGUUAAUUUUUUUUUUUUUUUUUUUUUUGAGACGGAGUCUCACUCUGUCACCUAGGUUGGAAUGCAGUGGUGCCAUCUUGGCCUCACUGCAACCUCCACCUCCCAGGUCCAAGGGAUUCUCCUGCCUCAGCCUCCCAAGUAGCUGGGGUUACAGGCACGUGCCACCAUGCCUGGCUAAUCUUUUGUAUUUUUAGUAGAGAUGGGGUUUCACCGUGUUAGCCAGGACGAUCUCGAUCUCCUGACCUCAUGAUCUGCCUGCCUCGGCCUCCCAAAGUGCUGGAAUUACAGGCAUGAGCCACUGACCCUGGCCCAGGAGUAUUGCUUUAACAAUAUAAGGUUUUCUGAUUUAUAAACAAGAAUGUCUUUCCAUUUAUUUAGGUCCUUAAUUUCUUCCAACAGUCUUUUCUAGUUUUCAAUGUACAAGUUUUUUGCGCUUCUGUUACAUUUAUUCCUGGCCGGGCACGGUGGCUCCGCCUGUAAUCCCAACACUUUGGGAGGCCAAGGCAGGCGGAUCACCUGAGGUCAGGAGUUUGAAACCAGACUGAACAACAUGCAGAAACCC